CCGAUUUAGCCACUUCCUGCCAGAUUCCGGAUAUACGUCAUCCGUAGUCGAGCCGUGGCCUAGCCACUGCUUCACUACUGUAAGCGAGGGAAGGAAAUUUUGGAAUUUAACAAUUUUUUUUUAAUUUGUCGAGCGUUUUUAGACUCAUAAUCUUCGAAGAUGCCAGGAGCAACAUGUGCUGUUGCAAAUUGUGAUAACAGCCAUUGUAAAACAAAAGUCAUUAGACAGGAAAGUCAGUUAUUUUAGAUUUCCUAAAGAUCCAAUAAUAAGAAGAAAAUGGAUCCAUAACUGUAAAA
This 296-nucleotide long non-coding RNA is filed under the name Centruroides sculpturatus (bark scorpion). Its description in RNAcentral is "uncharacterized LOC111614994". Lineage: Eukaryota; Metazoa; Arthropoda; Arachnida; Scorpiones; Buthidae. The record is from RNAcentral.